GGCUUAGAGUUUGAUCAUGGCUCAGGACGAACGCUGGCGGCGUGCUUAACACAUGCAAGUCGAACGGGGUGUUUAUUUCGGUAAACACCAAGUGGCGAACGGGUGAGUAACGCGUAAGCAAUCUACCUUCAAGAUGGGGACAACACUUCGAGAGGGGUGCUAAUACCGAAUGAAUGAGAGAUGACCGCAUGGAUAUUUCUCUAAAGGAGGCCUCUGAAAAUGCUUCCGCUCGAAGAUGAGCUUGCGUCUGAUUAGCUAGUUGGUGAUGGUAAAGGCCCACCAAGGCGACGAUCAGUAGCCGGUCUGAGAGGAUGAACGGCCACAUUGGGACUGAGACACGGCCCAGACUCCUACGGGAGGCAGCAGUGGGGAAUCUUCCGCAAUGGGCGAAAGCCUGACGGAGCAACGCCGCGUGAACGAAGAAGGUCUUAGGAUCGUAAAGUUCUGUUGUUAGGGGCGAAGGGCAACAUUUUGAAUAAGGGUGUUGUUUGACGGUACUUAACGAGGAAGCCACGGCUAACUACGUGCCAGCAGCCGCGGUAAUACGUAGGCGGCAAGCGUUGUCCGGAAUUAUUGGGCGUAAAGGGAGCGCAGGCGGGAAGUUAAGCGGACUUUAAAAGUGCGGGGCUCAACCCCGUAAGGGGGUCCGAACUGACUUUCUUGAGUGCAGGAGAGGGAAGCGGAAUUCCUAGUGUAGCGGUGAAAUGCGUAGAUAUUAGGAAGAACACCAGUGGCGAAAGCGGCUUUCUGGACUGUAACUGACGCUGAGGCUCGAAAGCUAGGGUAGCGAACGGGAUUAGAUACCCCGGUAGUCCUAGCCGUAAACGAUGGAUACUAGGUGUGGAGGUAUCGACCCCUUCCGUGCCG
This 867-nucleotide ribosomal RNA is filed under the name uncultured bacterium. RNAcentral's name for it is "bacterial SSU rRNA". It matches the Rfam family "Bacterial small subunit ribosomal RNA", at positions 1 to 848 of the family's 1533-position model. The record is from RNAcentral.